ACCAGCACGUUAUGGUGGGCACUCUAAGGAGACUGCCGGUGACAAACCGGAGGAAGGUGGGGAUGACGUCAAGUCAUCAUGGCCCUUACGGCCUGGGCUACACACGUGCUACAAUGGUCGGUACAAAGGGUUGCCAAGCCGCGAGGUGGAGCUAAUCCCAUAAAACCGAAUCGUAGUCCGGAUCGCAGUCUGCAACUCGACUGCGUGAAGUCGGAAUCGCUAGUAAUCGUGAAUCAGAAUGUCACGGUGAAUACGUUCCCGGGCCUU
RNAcentral lists this ribosomal RNA (267 nucleotides) under uncultured Pseudomonas sp. RNAcentral describes it as "partial 16S ribosomal RNA". It matches the Rfam family "Bacterial small subunit ribosomal RNA", at positions 1117 to 1382 of the family's 1533-position model. Lineage: Bacteria; Pseudomonadati; Pseudomonadota; Gammaproteobacteria; Pseudomonadales; Pseudomonadaceae. The record is from RNAcentral.